GCUGAUGUAUAUGAUGACUAAAACUUUUUUCCCCAUCAGAUCGACACUGUUGAUUUUGCUAUUUUUAGCCAGAUUUGUCUGAUACAUCAGC
Molecule: small nucleolar RNA, 91 nt
Organism: Anolis carolinensis (green anole)
Lineage: Eukaryota; Metazoa; Chordata; Lepidosauria; Squamata; Anolidae
Product: small nucleolar RNA, C/D box 12
Source: Ensembl